GCCGGGUGCAGUGGCUCACGCCUGUAAUCCUAGCGGCUUGGGAGGCUGAGACAGGAGGAUCAUGAGUUCAAAGCCAGCCUAAGGAAUGUCAAGGCACUAAAGCAACUCAGUGAGACCCUGUCUCUA
This 126-nucleotide small RNA is filed under the name Marmota monax (woodchuck). Lineage: Eukaryota; Metazoa; Chordata; Mammalia; Rodentia; Sciuridae. The record is from RNAcentral.